Molecule: ribosomal RNA, 305 nt
Filed under: uncultured bacterium
Lineage: Bacteria
Description: bacterial SSU rRNA
Rfam family: Bacterial small subunit ribosomal RNA
Source: RNAcentral
GCCUACGGGGGGCAGCAGUAGGGAAUUUUCGUCAAUGGGCGCAAGCCUGAACGAGCAAUGCCGCGUGAACGAGGAAGGUCUUCGGAUCGUAAAGUUCUGUUGAAGGGGAAAAAGAGCGGAGAGAGGAAAUGGUCUCCGAUUGAUAUUACCCUUCGAGGAAGUCACGGCAAACUACGUGCCAGCAGCCGCGGUAAUACGUAGGUGGCGAGCGUUAUCCGGAAUGAUUGGGCGUAAAGGGUGCGUAGGCGGCCUGCUAAGUCUGGAGUGAAAGGUACCGGCUCAACCGGUACAGGCUCUGGAAACUG